This 1461-nucleotide ribosomal RNA is filed under the name Streptococcus infantis. Its description in RNAcentral is "partial 23S ribosomal RNA". It matches the Rfam family "Bacterial large subunit ribosomal RNA", at positions 503 to 1991 of the family's 2925-position model. Lineage: Bacteria; Bacillati; Bacillota; Bacilli; Lactobacillales; Streptococcaceae. The record is from RNAcentral.
GUGAAGGAAAGGUGAAAAGGACCCCGGGAGGGGAGUGAAAGAGAACCUGAAACCCUGUGUUUACAAGCUGUGGAAGUUCUUUAAAUGAACAACCGCGUACUUUUUGUAGAACGGUCCGGCGAGUUGCGGAUACUGGCAAGGUUAAGCACUUAAGGUGCGGAGCCGAAGGGAUACCAAGUCUUAACAGGGCGUAAAGUCAGUAUACGCAGACCCGAAACCGGGUGAUCUAUCCAUGUCCAGGUUGAAGUUGUCGUAAAAGACAAUGGAGGACCGAAGCCACAUCCGUUGAAAAGGGUGGGCAUGAGGUGUGGAUAGGGGAGAAAUUCCAAUCGAACCCGGAGAUAGCUGGUUCUCCUCGAAAUAGCUUUAGGGCUAGCCUCGAUUUAGUCUUAUGGAGGUAGAGCACUGAAUUUCCGCGGGGGCGUCAAAGCUUACCAAAGAAUAUCAAACUCCGAAUGCCAUGUAGAUGAUGAUCGGGAGUCAGACUGCACGAGAUAAGUUGGGCAGUCAAAAGGGAAAGAGCCCAGACCACCGGCUAAGGUCCCAAAGUGCGUGUUAAGUGGAAAAGGAUGUGGGAAUUCGAAGACAACUAGGAUGUUGGCUCAGAAGCAGCCAUACAUUCAAAGAGUGCGUAACAGCUCACUAGUCGAGAGUUCCUGCGCCGAAAAUGUCCGGGGCUGAAACACGACACCGAAGCCGUGGACUCGCAAUGCGAGUGGUAGAGGAGCAUUCUUAAGACCGACGAAGCUGUACCGGAAGGAGCAGUGGAGGGAUAAGAAGAGAGAAUGCCGGAAUGAGUAGCGAGAGAAAGGUGGGAAUCCUUUCGGCUGAAUAUCUAAGGUUUCCAGAGUAAAGCUGAUCUGCUCUGGGUAAGUCGGGGCCUAAGCACAGGUCGCAAGACGUAAGCGAUGGAUAACAGGUUUAGAUUCCUGUACCACGCAUUAUCAGAACUGUAGGGACGCAUGUGGAAAGCACGAGCCGGGAAUGGAAAGACCGGUACAAGCGAGGUAGGUGUACAAUAGGCAAAUCCGUUGUAUGAUCCGAAGACGUGAUGUGGAGCGAAAUAAAGUAGCAAAGCGUGUGAGCCAUGUGCCGAGAAAAGCUGCUAUUGUGUAAUGCGUGCCCGUACCGUAAACCGACACAGGUGGAUGAGGAGAGAAUCCUAAGGCCGACGGAAGAAGCAUUGUUAAGGAAUUCGGCAAAAUGACCCCGUAACUUCGGGAGAAGGGGUGCCUGCGAGAGCAGGCCGCAGAGAAUAGGCUCAAGCAACUGUUUAGCAAAAACACAGGUCUAUGCGAAACCGAAAGGUGAAGUAUAUGGGCUGACGCCUGCCCGGUGCUGGAAGGUUAAGAGGAGAGGUUAGCGUAAGCGAAGCUUUGAAUUUAAGCCCCAGUAAACGGCGGCCGUAACGAUAACGGUCCUAAGGUAGCGAAAUUCCUUGUCGGGUAAGUUCCGACCCGC